This 703-nucleotide ribosomal RNA is filed under the name Salmonella enterica. Its description in RNAcentral is "partial 23S ribosomal RNA". It matches the Rfam family "Bacterial large subunit ribosomal RNA", at positions 711 to 1326 of the family's 2925-position model. RNAcentral also lists the same sequence under 1 other name. Lineage: Bacteria; Pseudomonadati; Pseudomonadota; Gammaproteobacteria; Enterobacterales; Enterobacteriaceae. The record is from RNAcentral.
AGACCCGAAACCCGGUGAUCUAGCCAUGGGCAGGUUGAAGGUUGGGUAACACUAACUGGAGGACCGAACCGACUAAUGUUGAAAAAUUAGCGGAUGACCUGUGGCUGGGGGUGAAAGGCCAAUCAAACCGGGAGAUAGCUGGUUCUCCCCGAAAGCUAUUUAGGUAGCGCCUCGUGAAUUCAUCUCCGGGGGUAGAGCACUGUUUCGGCUAGGGGGCCAUCCCGGCUUACCAACCCGAUGCAAACUGCGAAUACCGGAGAAUGUUAUCACGGGAGACACACGGCGGGUGCUAACGUCCGUCGUGAAGAGGGAAACAACCCAGACCGCCAGCUAAGGUCCCAAAGUCAUGGUUAAGUGGGAAACGAUGUGGGAAGGCCCAGACAGCCAGGAUGUUGGCUUAGAAGCAGCCAUCAUUUAAAGAAAGCGUAAUAGCUCACUGGUCGAGUCGGCCUGCGCGGAAGAUGUAACGGGGCUAAACCAUGCACCGAAGCUGCGGCAGCGAACGUAUCACCCAAGACAACUUUACGGAGUUGACGAUUGACGGAGCGAAGCGACGUCAAAGCGUUCAUUAAAGUCGAGUUGGCUUAGGGAUACGUUCGUUGGGUAGGGGAGCGUUCUGUAAGCCUGUGAAGGUGGCCUGUGAGGGUUGCUGGAGGUAUCAGAAGUGCGAAUGCUGACAUAAGUAACGAUAAAGCGGGUGAAA